UAAUUUUAUUGGUCUUCAGAGCAAUGUCAAAUAUGUAACAGAAGCAUCGAUACAGAUUUUUCAUUGGUGCUCAGUUCGGUUCGGUUGUUGGUUGACUACAUUAUGUAGGUGUGAAAAAUCUUCGUUGAUAAAGUGGAUCUCAUUUGCCUUGGAGCAAAAUCUAAAUUUGGAUGAUGUAUGCAGUUAAUGAGACACGUCAUCCCAUGAUGAAUGUGAUGAAAUCAAACUACAUUUCCCGUGAAACAUUCCAGCAUUUCGAUUAUAUUCCAGAGUUUCGCAAUGAUUACUCCGUUGACAACACAUAUGUUAAAUCGAUGAGAGAUAAAUGCAACAACGUAGAGAUAUCCCCCGUGACUGUUAUCAUAAGAUCAGCAGUAGAGAAUGCCGGAGUAACCAUGCCAAACGAUAAAAGGCGCGUUUCACGUCAAUUUCUAACAUGUUUAAAUAACGGACAAUUGCAAGUUAUUGUUAACGAUUUACAGAGAUAUAUCGGUUUGUUGAAUGAUGAGUUGGUUCAACUACUUAUGAAACGUGAUGAGCUACAAAUGAGUCAGGAUGCAACGUUGAUUGACAUAGAAGAUUUAUCGUUAUAUUUUUGAGAAGUGAAGCGUUACGGUGAAACCAAAGGCACUGGAUUACAAACCCAGACGAAAUGUUAGAAUUAGAGCAUGAAAUUUAUUGUCGCCCAGAUUGAUUCAAUUGAGCAAAAAGCUUAAUAAAACAAUAGAUAUUAUGCCUUUGUACGAUAUUGUCUAUGCAAAAAAUGUUUAGAUUAUGAGCUUAUUUAUUGGGUUACAUUUUCAGAGAACAUUAGGCCAUUUUGGGUAUCAUCUUCGGUACUCUUCAAGGAUAAUCCCUUAAAGUUCUACUGAACUUUUCGCGAAAAAUACAAAAUAUAGAAGAACCACCUUAAUAUUAUCGCCCAAUCAAACAUUAGUGUGAACGCGCUAUAGCGACAGCAUAGCAGAGUAACCCAUGCAAACACGUAAUUUAUGUAAAAAAAGAGACUGCUUAUUUUUCAGUACCUAUAUUAUUAUAUUAAAGUUCCCUGUAGCACAAUGAAGACUAAUUUGUUCGCAGCAACUUCAAUAUGACAAGAUUGAAAGUUGUAAGAGUUACAGAAACACAACAGUCACAAGCGCAUUGUUCGGGAAAGAAACAUCUUAAACCUCUUCAGAUUACGCUAUUUAUAAUAUGAUAAAGAGUAACUCGAUCCCAAUUUUCUUUCUCCACUUUAAUAUGUAAUAAAGCUCGUAAUCUAGGCUAUUGGGAAUAGCUAAUGAAAAAGAAUAAAAGUGAGCAUAAGGCUCAUCUUCGAUGUAGAAAUGACCACAUGUUUCUUUUUUAAACUUUCUUGGGUGGCACGCUAAGCAAACAAGCAACCCUCUGCUUACUUCAAAUCUUCUAUACAGUUUUAUACCUUAUGAUGAUUUUAGUGCUAUUCUUGCAACGAUUACUGUACUUUUUAACACUUAGUGAGAUGAUCUAUUUGGACAUGGCCAUUCUUUCCAUCACCAGCGUCUA
Armigeres subalbatus is the source of this 1524-nucleotide long non-coding RNA. RefSeq lists it as uncharacterized. NCBI's taxonomy places the organism in Eukaryota, Metazoa, Arthropoda, Insecta, Diptera, Culicidae. The record is from RefSeq and is a predicted model, not a curated record. The transcript has 3 exons.